This 253-nucleotide ribosomal RNA is filed under the name uncultured bacterium. RNAcentral's name for it is "partial small subunit ribosomal RNA". It matches the Rfam family "Bacterial small subunit ribosomal RNA", at positions 26 to 285 of the family's 1533-position model. The record is from RNAcentral.
AGGACGAACGCUGGCGGCGUGCUUAACACAUGCAAGUCGAACGGAAAGGCCCUUCGGGGUUACUCGGGUGGCGAACGGGUGAGUAACACGUGAGCAAUCUGCCCCUAGCUCUGGGAUAGCUCCGGGAAACCGGGAUUAAUACCAGAUAUUACUACGGCCGACAUCAGCUGUGGUGGAAAGAAUUUCGGCUAGGGAUGAGCUCGCGGCCUAUCAGCUUGUGGUGGGUAAAGGCCCACCAAGGCGACGACGGGUA